GACGAACGCUGGCGGCGUGCUUAACACAUGCAAGUCGAACGAAGAGCGAUGGAAGCUUGCUUCUAUCAAUCUUAGUGGCGAACGGGUGAGUAACGCGUAAUCAACCUGCCCUUCAGAGGGGGACAACAGUUGGAAACGACUGCUAAUACCGCAUACGAUCCAAUCUCGGCAUCGGGACUGGAUGAAAGGUGGCCUCUAUUUAUAAGCUAUCACUGAAGGAGGGGAUUGCGUCUGAUUAGCUAGUUGGAGGGGUAACGGCCCACCAAGGCGAUGAUCAGUAGCCGGUCUGAGAGGAUGAACGGCCACAUUGGGACUGAGACACGGCCCAGACUCCUACGGGAGGCAGCAGUGGGGAAUCUUCCGCAAUGGGCGAAAGUCUGACGGAGCAACGCCGCGUGAGUGAUGACGGCCUUCGGGUUGUAAAGCUCUGUUAAUCGGGACGAAUGGUUCUUGUGCGAAUAGUGCGAGGAUUUGACGGUACCGGAAUAGAAAGCCACGGCUAACUACGUG
Molecule: ribosomal RNA, 510 nt
Filed under: uncultured bacterium
Lineage: Bacteria
Description: partial 16S ribosomal RNA
Rfam family: Bacterial small subunit ribosomal RNA
Source: RNAcentral